CCCUUAGACGUUCCGGGCCGCACGCGCGCUACACUGACCAGUGCAACAAGCAUCCGUCCUUGGCCGACAGGCCCGGGCAAUCUUUGAACGCUGGUCGUGAUGGGGAUAGACUUUUGCAAUUUUUGGUCUUCAACGAGGAAUUCCUAGUAAACGCAAGUCAUCAACUUGCAUUGAUUACGUCCCUGCCCUUUGUACACACCGCCCGCCGCACCUACCGAUUGAAUGGUCCGGUGAAGCCUCCGGAUUGGCGCGCACCUCGGUGCCGCCGAGAAGUUGGCUAAACCUUACCAUUUAGAGGAAGGUGAAGUCGUAACA
RNAcentral lists this ribosomal RNA (315 nucleotides) under uncultured eukaryote. Its description in RNAcentral is "partial 18S ribosomal RNA". It matches the Rfam family "Eukaryotic small subunit ribosomal RNA", at positions 1470 to 1796 of the family's 1831-position model. The record is from RNAcentral.